Molecule: ribosomal RNA, 390 nt
Filed under: Crangonyx sp. SUN
Lineage: Eukaryota; Metazoa; Arthropoda; Malacostraca; Amphipoda; Crangonyctidae
Description: SSU rRNA
Rfam family: Eukaryotic small subunit ribosomal RNA
Source: RNAcentral
ACUCAUACCCCGAAGGCCGCGCUCUUGCAGUGUGCGCUGGACGGGUGCUUUUAUUAGACCAAACCGCUGAGGGCGCGUUAGCCUCCCGGGGCGCGCGCUUGACUCGCAUGAUGGUGACUCUGGAUAACCUUUGACAAGCGCACGUACCACUCGUAUGAGCGGACGGCGCUGCCACUAUCGAGUGUCUGCCUUAUCAGCUAUCAACCGUUCGUUACGUGCGACCGAUGGCUUUGACGGGUAACGGGGAAUCAGGGUUCGAUUCCGGAGAGGCAGCCUGAGAGACGGCUACCACGUCCAAGGACGGCAGCAGGCGCGCAAAUUACCCAAUCCCAGCUUCUGGGGGAGGUAGUGACGAAAUCUAACGAUGCGGGCGCCCUUUCUAGGGCCCCG